GUGCUCACUUUGACAGCACUUAUACUAAAACUGGAGCAAUACAGAAAUUAGCAUGGCCCCUGUGCAAGGAUGACAUGCACAUUCGUGAAGCGUUCUAUAUUUUU
Small nuclear RNA from Zalophus californianus (California sea lion), 104 nucleotides. The record is from Ensembl. NCBI's taxonomy places the organism in Eukaryota, Metazoa, Chordata, Mammalia, Carnivora, Otariidae.